Molecule: ribosomal RNA, 333 nt
Filed under: Triticum aestivum (bread wheat)
Lineage: Eukaryota; Viridiplantae; Streptophyta; Magnoliopsida; Poales; Poaceae
Description: partial small subunit ribosomal RNA
Source: RNAcentral
AUGAAGGAGAUCACGACGAAGAAGAAGAAGACGAAGAAGCCGUCGGUUGUCGUCAGUGCUGGCGAGACAGAUGAGGAGGCGAUGGCGAGGUUUGCUCGGGAGCAUCCGGAGUACGUCCAGGCCGAGAUGGAGUACUACUGGAAGCGUGAGGCGGACCAGAAGAAGAAGGGGCCGAAGAAGGAGGAUGAGGUCGGUCCCUCGACGGUGAUCCCCAUCGAGUCCUCUUCCGAGGAGGAUUGGGCAGACUUCUCGGAGGAGGAGGAGGAGGAGGGGUGCGACGACCCGACGAAGGAGGAGUUCUGGGAGCAGUUCCGUAGCUCCGAUGAGGAGUAG